UAUGUUUUAGUAUAUGAUGUAUUGGGGUUUUUGAUGCUUCAGGGGGUAGUUUGAUUCUACCAAACGUAAC
This 70-nucleotide transfer RNA is filed under the name unidentified. RNAcentral describes it as "Strongylium pinfaense tRNA-Gln". The record is from RNAcentral.